Molecule: ribosomal RNA, 484 nt
Filed under: uncultured bacterium
Lineage: Bacteria
Description: partial 16S ribosomal RNA
Rfam family: Bacterial small subunit ribosomal RNA
Source: RNAcentral
AUUGAACGCUGGCGGCAGGCCUAACACAUGCAAGUCGAGCGGAUGAAGGGAGCUUGCUCCUGGAUUCAGCGGCGGACGGGUGAGUAAUGCCUAGGAAUCUGCCUGGUAGUGGGGGAUAACGUCCGGAAACGGGCGCUAAUACCGCAUACGUCCUGAGGGAGAAAGUGGGGGAUCUUCGGACCUCACGCUAUCAGAUGAGCCUAGGUCGGAUUAGCUAGUUGGUGGGGUAAAGGCCUACCAAGGCGACGAUCCGUAACUGGUCUGAGAGGAUGAUCAGUCACACUGGAACUGAGAAACGGUCCAGACUCCUACGGGAGGCAGCAGUGGGGAAUAUUGGACGAUGGGCGAAAGCCUGAUCCAGCCAUGCCGCGUGUGUGAAGAAGGUCUUCGGAUUGUAAAGCACUUUAAGUUGGGAGGAAGGGCAGUAAGUUAAUACCUUGCUGUUUUGACGGUACCAACAGAAUAAGCACCGGCUAACUUCGUG